This 90-nucleotide transfer RNA is filed under the name Gemmatimonadota bacterium. RNAcentral's name for it is "tRNA-Ser". It matches the Rfam family "tRNA". Rfam says of the family: Transfer RNA (tRNA) molecules are approximately 80 nucleotides in length. Their secondary structure includes four short double-helical elements and three loops (D, anti-codon, and T loops). The record is from RNAcentral. Lineage: Bacteria; Pseudomonadati; Gemmatimonadota.
GGAGAGGUGCUGGAGUGGUCGAACAGGCCGGUCUCGAAAACCGGUGUACCCUCACGGGUACCGUGGGUUCGAAUCCCACCCUCUCCGCCA